RNAcentral lists this ribosomal RNA (119 nucleotides) under Triticum dicoccoides. Lineage: Eukaryota; Viridiplantae; Streptophyta; Magnoliopsida; Poales; Poaceae. The record is from RNAcentral.
GGAUGCGAUCAUACCAGCACUAAAGCACCGGAUCCCAUCAGAACUCUGAAGUUAAGCAUGCUUGGGCGAGAGUAGUACUAGGAUGGGUGACCUCCUCGGAACUCCUCGUGUUGCAUUCC